This is a long non-coding RNA of Cyprinus carpio carpio, 3049 nucleotides long. The record is from Ensembl. NCBI's taxonomy places the organism in Eukaryota, Metazoa, Chordata, Actinopteri, Cypriniformes, Cyprinidae.
GCGGGACGAGGCUCGGGAGUGUGGGCCAUGACGGGAUGAGGCUCAGGAGUGGUGGCCAUGAUGGGAUAAGACUCAGGAGUGGGGGCCAUGACGGGCCGAGGCUCAGGAGUGGGGGCCAUGAGGGACGAGGCUCGGGAGUGGGGGCCAUGACCGGGACGAGGCUCGGGAGUGGGGCCAUGACGGGACGAGGCUCGGGAGUGGGGACCAUGACGGGCCGAGGCUCAGGAGUGGUGGCCAUGACAGGGACGAGGCUCAGGAGUGGUGGCCAUGGCGGGACGAGGCUCGGGAGUGGGGACCAUGACGGGACGAGGCUCGGGAGUGUGGGCCAUGACGGGACGAGGCUCGGGAGUGGGGACCAUGACGGGACGAGGCUCAGGAGUGUGGGCCAUGAUGGGAUAAGACUCAGGAGUGGGGGCCAUGACGGGCCGAGGCUCAGGAUUGGUGGCCAUGUUGUGAAGAGGUUCCUUCCCGGCGUCCUGCUCUGCCAGCUCCACCCUGUUUUCUAACUCCGCCUGGGUUGCCUAUACCACCGGCUCCACCCUGGCUCCAGGUCCACCCUGGUUGCCAGCUCCAGUCUGGUCUUCAUUACUGAUUUGUCUGUCAUUGUAGUUGUCGGUCACUUGUGUAGCUGUUAUGUUUGUCUUGUCUUUUAUUUUAUUUCUUGUUUGGAUUUGCCUGAGCUGGAUUUGUACCCUGAUUGGAUUAUCUGGUUUUUUUAUUUUUUGCAUGUUUUCUUCAAUAAAUCAUGUUGCAUUUAAAUUCUCACCUCAGCUUUGCCUCAACGUAACAGCCUGUCAUUUUGAAUGAGAAAAACCUGUGGCAGAAGGUGCACAAAUAAUAUGGAGAGCUUUCAUGUGACAAUGUGCUUUUUUACUAAGCGCUCAAAAAAUUUCAUCACUAGAGAUGUGAGUGCUAUUGGUCGAAAAUCAUUUAAUAUUAAGGGUCUAGAAACUUUUGGCACUGGUACUAUUGUAGAUGUUUUCCAUAUAACAGGAACAAUUCCAGUAUUAUACGAGGCUCUAAAAAUAUCAGUAAAAACUGGCGCUAACUGGGCCGCACAGUGUUUUAAAACAUUACUGCAUAUCUUAUCUGGACCUGGGCUUUUCCGAGGAUUACAUUUCUUAAAAAAUUGACUAACCUCUAUUUCACUGAUAUCAAAAGGAGAUUUAGUCAAAGAUAGUGGUGGCAACACUGGAGUAGCAUUACCUUCUCCCUUAUCAAAACGACAGAAGUAUAAGUUAAGCUAAUUAGCCAUCUCUAGCUCCUUAAAUUUUAUUUUUUUUUACAACAGAGGCUGUUUUCCUCUUCCCUAAUGAGGGACGUUUGUCAUAUUCUUAAUCCCCUGCCAGGCAUAUCGUGAGUUACCACAUGUCAGAGACGCUUCCAUUUUUUGUCUAUAUGUAUUCUUAUCUAUUUGUAUUUGUCUUUUAAUAUGCUUCUGUAUAUGCCUCUGAGUUAUCACAUCCUGAUUUUUAUAUGCCUUCCUUUUCUUAUUAAUAAGAAUCUUUAACUCUUUAGACACCCAAGGUUUAUCAUUGGGGUAGACCAUAAAAGUCUUAGUGGGUAUAAUAGUAUCUACACAGUAGUUUAUAUACUCAUUGACUGUUUCAACAUACUCAUUGAUGUCACCACUACCAAAGACCUCCCACUGGGUACAUUCAAAGCACCCCUGUAAAGGCAUUAUACUAUCAUUUAUAGAGAAUAGAGCUGCAUCAUUACAGCUCGGACCUGCUAAAAACAUGUUUUGGUUCUGAUUAUGAUGUUAAUUGCGCUGAAAUCAUGUGUUCUAAUUCCAGAUGAGUUUAAACUUCUGAUAUACGGUUUUCUGAGUGCGUACAUCUGAAGCACAUGGACAGAAAGCGGCUGUCACAGCAUGUGAUUGCUAAACUAAGUUCUCUUUCACACAGAAGUUUACGUUAAAAACACACGUGAGUUACAAAAACAGUCAGUUAUGUCUGUGAGGUAAACUGCUGAAAAAUAAAUUGCAUGUUUAUUUUAGAUCUGUGUGGCAGCAGCAAUAUACAGUAAAUAAAUCAAUAAAUCUGGGACUCUAAACAGUGUUCUGUUCUCGUCUUUGUAGCCAAAGUUAGAACAGUUAGCAUGUUUUGCUCAAACUUUCACCAUGACAUUAGAGAUGGUACACCAUUGUCUCUUGCAAAAUCAAAUGCUGUGGGUAUAAACUUACAGAUUAAGGGGCGGUAAUAUAAUGAGAUCUCUUUGAAAUCUGACGCGCUCUUUUUCUCAGAUGCUUGCAGAAAAAGGCUUACCAAAACAAAGUUACUGGGUUAAUCUUUUUCAUGUUUCCUUGGUUGGUAGAUGCACUGGGGACCUGAUUAUAGCACUUAAAACCUGGAAAAGUCAGAUUUUCAUGAUAUGUCACCUUUAACUGAAAAUUGUUUACUAUUGUCAUUUGCAUUAUUGACACACUCUUUCCUAUUUAAUAAUGUAAAGUGCUUGGACACAUUCUGUAUUGUUAAAAGCACUAUAUAAAUAAAGGUGACUUGACUCAAGCAAUUUUGUGGGGGUUUUGUGGUAUUUUUUAGCUACUAAAGCAACUGUAUCUCCAUUUUGAUUUUUGUUUUCCUCAAGUUGCUGAGAUGAAUCUUUUGCAGCAUUUUCUGCUUAUUAAAUUACAAAUAUUUAAUCUUUUUAACAAGAUUUUAUUUAAGUAACAGGCAUUAUACUGCAUCCUAAUGAUGCCUAAAUUUCUAAAAGAGAACAAUAAAAUAUUUUCCUACCUCUGUACCACAUCUUUGGCAACUCAGUCCAGCUAUACUAAGCAAAUCUGCACAUGUUUUUGCAAAGAACCUAAAUAGCCAGAAUGUAAUUAGCACUAUUAGGACUAUUGCAUUUGUCAUUUGCUUACGGAUGUAAUGAGCAAGAUACAAGGAACAGUUACCAGAUCACACGCAAAAUUGCCAUUCCAUGUAUGGUCUAAAACACAGCUGUCGUAAUGUUUUGUUUUUUUUUGCCACAGAAUAAAACAUUUUAAGGAAAUAUUCUAUGAGCAUUGCAGAAAUGUAAUAUAAAUAUUAUGUAAAGUGACAAA